RNAcentral lists this long non-coding RNA (5452 nucleotides) under Sorghum bicolor (sorghum). RNAcentral describes it as "long non-coding RNA (SBIC_LNC017786)". Lineage: Eukaryota; Viridiplantae; Streptophyta; Magnoliopsida; Poales; Poaceae. The record is from RNAcentral.
CGUUUUCUAAAUCGCUCGAUUGCAGUGUCUGAAACCUGAUUUUCAUCAAUGUUUUACUCUCAGCUCACUCGAUGGCUUUGGCUCAAAUUUGAUCCUUUGGAUAGUGCUACAUGAGAUCUACAGGUUUGCUUAAAAGAUCAAAGUCUAAUUCAACCUGGAUUUCAAACCACAAGGCUCCCAAGAACCCUAUGUCGAAACUGCCGAAUCCCAGACUUAGCCAAAUUCGGCUAAGUGUGGAAACAGCACUGAUUUCUGGCUUGUGGGCUAAAUUUGAAUGUGUUCCAUGGUUUUUCAUAAAAAGUAAUCAACAUAUCUUUUGUAGCUUAUGAAAUUUACUACAACUUUGUUUUAGAUAUCAUAGACAUGAAAGGUCUCUAACAUCAGUUUUAUAAAACAUCUUUAAAAAGAGGUCUAGGGGGUCAAUUAGGUCAAACUAGGGUUAACCAUGUCUUAGGGGUGUUUUUGGACAAAACCUACAACAUGAACUUUGUUCAAAAUGCUAUUAUAAACAUGAUUAAUGUAUUUUGGAAGAGAAUGUACACUCAUAGGCAUUGGUCACCCUUUAUUACCACUCAUAUCAAGUCACAUAAGCAAUUCAAUCAUGCAUAGUAUACAAUAGAUGACAUGUGAUCAUGAUGGAUGCUUAUGAAUGAGCUUGAUAAUGCUUAUGUUGAUGCAAUGCACAUGGUUAACAUGCAAGCUAACACUAGGAGUGUUACAAACAAUCCCUGGAAAGCCAAAUCGGCUAGCUGCCGAUCGUCGAGAACCAGACUAUAGCACUUAUUCUUAACCUCUCACAAUCUUUGCACAAAACUCUCAACCGAUUCUUCAUUGCGUUGUUUCAGCCUGACUAAAUCGGUAAUCUUCUUCUCAUGAACUCUAGAAAAGAAGUAUUUAUGGAAUUGUUUCUCUAGAUCGGCCCAAGUGAUCACUAGCUUUGAUUCAGUAGUAGGGGUAUGAUCUCGAGGGGCCAGGGGGCCAUGCUUAUAUAGUCUUUUCAGAUGAAUCUGGACCGUUGGAUCAAACCAACAUUGAUUGAAUGGUUAUUCUUGAUCCUUUAGGUCGGUGGAGCAUGAUCCCCAAGUUGUACCCUGAUUGGGCAAAAUAGGAGGGCGGGCGCCCUGUCCCUAAGCCCUCUCGGCCUCCGCUCGGUCCCGUGGGUUCUGGAGUUUUCUAGAUGAUAGAAAAUUGCGCGGCAUAUUAAUAUCUCUAUGUAAACCUGACGUGUGGGCCUUUCUUCCGUAUUUCUUGAUAACCCCCUGCAGAAAUAGACAAACACCAAAACUCGUGGAAUUCUGUCAGAUAAAACCCAAAGUCUGGGUGUCAGUUUCAUUUAGAUCCUUUUCCGUGAUUAGUUGACGGUUAAAUAUGAGCAUUAAGGACCGUCAACAAGCCCCCCAAGCUUAACCUUUGCUCGUCCAUGAGCAAAGAUGGACUCAAGAGUUUCUGCAGUGGUUUUAUGCCUUAAAGAUACACAUGCGUUCAAACAAGAUCUCAUCUCUGGGUUAGGGUAAACUGUUAAAACUUAAAACUUACUCAUUUUAUCAUUCACCAUGGGGCUUGCAACCGUCACUUGUGUCUUGAGCAGUUAAAAGAUAGAACGGUCUAGUCAAGUGUCAUGUCUCUUGUUCUUUGAUUAACCAUAGCUAUUGAGUUUUUGCAGAUUUUCAAAUAAAACUCAGAUAUUCCUUGUGUGACUCUCUCUAGUCUCUCUUUUGUGGUAUUUCUGGAUCCUUACCAAGGAAGUAAUGGUGUAUGCCUUCUCUCAAAGUAUGUAGUAUUUGUGGUAUGAAGCAUAGUGACAUUGUCUUCUCUCUCACCCUACUCUAAUAUGGCUUUUGAUAUCUGGAGCUCAUAGGUGGGAGACAGCUAAUACAUACUUACAAGACAUUUAUUGCAUAGUCAAACCAUGGAUCCAGAAGAACAAGUCAAUAAGUUAAAUCAAGAUGUGCAUGUGUGGCGAAUGAAUGGUGUAUGGUGAUGAUGGUGAUAACAAUGGUGAAAGUCUAAUUCUAAUUGUGCUCUUUUGAGGGGAUACAUACCUUUCUUGCUCUUUUGAAACUUUUUGAGGAGAAUGGGAUGCUCUAUAUUUUCUUUUUCUUUUCUCUCAGGUGGGUAUCUUGUAACCCUAAUUCUACUAUCGGACACUUAUCCAUUUUUACCUCUCAUCUUACUUUUUCUUUUCUUUCGAGGUUCCAGGCACUUGCCCCUUUUUAUUUCCUCGUAUCUUUUUUUUUCUUCUCUUUUUUUCUUUUAGUAGAGCACUCAUCUCCUGAAAUAAUAUAGCAAGUGGUAGUAACCAAGAUAACUUGAGCAUUUAUUUCAUAGGAAAAAAACAGAAAUGUUUGUGGCUAUUCUCUCCCGGAUUAGAAGUAGAAUAUUUUUAGGUGGUUCUGGAGAUGGAAAUGGGUGGAUAUAUGUGGAUGCGUACUUCCAGAGUAGAAGCAGCAUAUGUGAGUGAACGUGCAAGUGAAUCUUGACUUAACCAGAUGACAAGCUCCUAAGGGUCUACACAGCUUGACCACACUCAAUGCUCAUAAGCAGUAAAGUAAAUGUGUGGCUGAAAGUUUAGCAAGCAUGUAUAUAUGGCUUUGGUAGGAAUUUAAACUCUCAUCAUGCAGGAACUCAUCAUGCAACAUUUUAAAGAUUUUCAAAGAUAAAGUUCUCCAUAAUUCUAGUAUCUCUAGGAACAAAUAAACAGCAGCUCAACCUUCCCAUAUCAUAUCCGUUAACGACUUAGACUUCAGAUCAAGUACUCUCCCCACAAGUUCAGGUUUAGAGCAAAUCUUAAUUAAUACCAGACAUGCCUAAACUUGAGAGAGAUUUCAAUUUUGAGAACUAGUCAUGUCAGAGCAACUAUUCAUCAUUUCCAUGUGAGAGCUUAUCAUGAGGGUUCAUAGCAAACUUUAUUUAUUUAUUUAUUUAACAAACUAAGCAAAGAUAUAUAUAAGCACAAAAUCUUUAUUUGGGUUUUUAUGAUCAUGCAUCUUUUUAUUAUUUGAGUAAAGUAUAAACGUGAGUAGAACACUUAGCUCGAUAAAUGGGGGUGCUCUCCCCCAAGCUGGAUUUUGACGUAAUUUCUUCUCAUGUAGCUAGCAGGUGGCAGAGGUGUAUUUGAAUGUCGGCAGCACCCUGACAGCGAUUAGGAUGUCCUCCGUCUGCUAGUCUUCUUUGAUCCUUGAAUUUUGUGGAGCUCAAAUAGACAACAAAGCUUUGUGGAACUGGUUAAGUGUUAGCAUAAAUAUCUAGCCUUUAUCAUGUUGAGCCUCCUCAGUAAUGUUACUCUCUUUAGUAGGAUCAUAAAUUUAUUUUUAUAUUUUCAUUUUUAUAGGACAGGAAUAUAUUUAUUUUAUUUUUACGCCACCACAGUGACUGUACUUAUGGGUUUUAUGCCAUGAGCAUACUCACAUGGGGCUUACUAUUUUUAACAUUUUAUUUUCUUUUCAAGAUGAUAUGAACCUGAGUAACUAUGCAAACUAUUUUAAAUAAUUAAAAGGAAAAAGAUAACUACCAAGUUUACCUCUUGGCAAGGCGUUCAGUGUUUUUAAGUCGUCCGAACUGGACUCUCCGUUUUCUCAGUCAUCGUGGGAUUCGCUGGAUGGCGUAGUCGGUGGUUCCGUCGGUGCCUCCUCUUCGUGUAUAACUAUCUUCUCUCUCCACACCUGACUCUGUGCUACGGUCUCCUCAUGACAGUUCUGUUCAAGCUAUAUGACUUCAGACCUUAUCACUUCUCCUUCGUAGUCUGCCCAUCCAUCCUUGAUGAUUUACCUCCUCUCAUUGCGGUUGCGUCGUCUUCUUCUUGUCCUCACCUGCUUAGAGUCUUCUUAAAGGGGAAGUGCAUGUGGACUUCUCUGGUUCCAACGUAGAUGAUUGCUUUAACGGUGUUGAGGAACGGUCUCCCAAGGAUGAUGAUGGAUCGUACUCGUCUUCUCCCAUGUCAAUAACCUGAAAAUCUUUCGGACUGUCUGAUCUGCCAUCUGGAGCUGAAUGUAUGUCGGUUUUAGGGGCAUGGAUCCGAACAUGAGCUGAUAUGUGACUGGGACAUCCUUUUUGGCCAGGAACACUGACUUAAGUCAACAGUCUUGACCUCCUUGAACUGUAGAGACCAUCUUGGCUAGCUUGGUCCACAUUUGCUUGUUCCUGUUCCUCCUGUUGGUCCUCAUCCUUGGUUUAUAUCGGUAUUGCUCUGAGAUUUGUGUAGUCUUGUUCUUGAAGGAAAACGUCUCCUUCCUCCCCUUAAUGUAGAAACUGAUCUUUGCAGCGCGCGUAGAUGAUAGCUCCCGAGGUGUUCAGGAAAGGCCUCCCUAGGAUGAUGGGUGCCCUCUCAUCAGUACCAGUCUCUAUCACCACGAAGUCUGCUAGGGCAUACAAGGUACCAACUCAGACGCAGAGGUUCUUCAAUAUUCCCUUUGGGAAACUUAGUGUCUGAUCUGCAGGCAUGACGAUGGAGAUCAGGAUGACGGUGCGUCCUGGAUUGCCUCUCUUGACCGGCAGAAGGUCAGUAAUUACUUCCACAACGGGGUUACUCCAGUAGUUACGUCCUCAAGCAUCUUAGGGCAGUGAUUGCCUGAGUGUCCAGUAUCUCCAUUGUGUUUGUGCUCGUAGAUCUAGGUUCUUCACUUGGUGGAGUCUGAGAGUUGUAAAACUCCUUCAUAUGCUACUCGAAGUGUACCUGCUAAUAGAGACAAGGCAGAGAUCAAGUGCAUGGGCCCUUUUGGUGGAAAACACCAACAGAACCAAAAUUGUAUUUGUUCUUCUCUAACCUUAAGCAUAGUGAGCAAGACAAAGUUGAUGGAUAAUAAGAUCAUGAGUGUAGCAUUUAAAACAUUUGUCAGAUCAGAUCACUCAACCUUAUGGAAAGAUAAUCUAUCUAAGUAAAUGUUUUUUUACAUGACUAUCAUUUUCCAAAGAUUGAGUGUGCAACAUUUUAGUUCAUAUGAUUACGAUUGUGGGAUCACAAAGGUGGAAGGACUAAACAUAUUGAAUCGACUGACUUGGUUAUCUAGAGUUGUAAAUCAUACUUGUUUGUCUCUUUUGUUCAUGUGAACACCAGAACCAAGGAGAAGCUUAUAAAAGUGACAGUCAAGUACCUUAAGAUAUUACCUUACAUGAAGAGUGAUGGUACAAUAUCACCUUGUGGAAGCUUUCCUUUCUUAGCGGUUGUGCAUCGUGUUUGUGGCACCCUCCAUGGAUCAUCUCUUGUGAGCUAUGCCCUCCUUGUGUAAAUUAUUAACCUUCAUGUGUCUCUCUCUUUGUCUCCAAUGUGAGUUUAUCUCAGGACUUCCCAUGUCGAUAUUGAAAGUUUUUCUGCAGGGGUUAGUCCAACAAAAUAUCCCAUAUCUACUAUAGCAUACUAUUGGCUCAAAAAUCAACCUAGACACCAUGUCUAAUUUGAUUCAGGAGGGCUUUUUUAACCUAAGCACCAUGCUUAAUUUAAAACCCCUUGGAAGUA